AUGAACCAGAUAGAUCUCUGCGAAAGGCCACAGAUAUAUACAAGAGAAGCAGACCAAAUGCAAUGGAAGUCCCACCAUAGGCACCGGCAAUGUAAAUCUACCUUAUAGUGACAAACUUGUUGGUACCAUGUUUGGCCCAGUGAGUCCUCAAAUCAAUUGGGUUAACAAAGUUAUAACCUUCAGCAGCAAGUUUCUCCAAUACCUUCUUAAAUGCACCCUGGCUCAUUUUCCUUCCAGCUAUCCUUGCACCACGUCUUUUAGUGCUCAUUGGCAAGGGGUACAUUGAUACAUUGGUAGUGCAACAAGCAGACUGCCAUCCACCGCAGCCCCAUCGAUAACACUGCUGAGGAGUUCCAGUACAAGAGCAAACUGGAAUAGGAAUACCUGAAAUAUCCA
RNAcentral lists this unclassified non-coding RNA (396 nucleotides) under Hevea brasiliensis (rubber tree). Lineage: Eukaryota; Viridiplantae; Streptophyta; Magnoliopsida; Malpighiales; Euphorbiaceae. The record is from RNAcentral.